RNAcentral lists this ribosomal RNA (492 nucleotides) under Triticum aestivum (bread wheat). RNAcentral describes it as "partial small subunit ribosomal RNA". Lineage: Eukaryota; Viridiplantae; Streptophyta; Magnoliopsida; Poales; Poaceae. The record is from RNAcentral.
UGUAGUGUGAACGAUGAUGCAUACAUGUCAACUAUGGGUGUUGGCUCAAACAAUUCGCAUUGGUCUCAAAUCAAUGACAUGCAUUUUGAAGACCAUGGGUUCGAGGUGGACGAGGAUGGUGAGGGCAUUGUCGACGCACCGAAAGGAAGAGGAGGCAACUACACCAACGACAAGGACGUUGUGCUAUGCAAAACUUGGUUGGACGUGUCGAGGGAUCCAUCCGUUGAAGGUGAUCAAAGUAGAGAUGCUUACUGGCUACGGAUGAAAGAACACUUUGACCUUCGCAACAUGAGUGGAAUUGACCGCUCCACACAAUCACUUCGCUCCCGGUGGUCAACCAUCAAAUGGGAUUGUCAACAAUGGGCGGCCGCACAAAAAGCGGUUGAUAAGUUAAACCCAAGUGGCACCAAUGAUGUCAUUUCAUCAUUCCUCAUGUUCACAUCAUGCUUGUUGUUGGUGUUUCUUGUGCUAACUUGUUUUGUUUUCAUGUAG